GACGAACGCUGGCGGCGUGCUUAACACAUGCAAGUCGAACGAUGAAGCCUAGCUUGCUAGGUGGAUUAGUGGCGAACGGGUGAGUAAUACGUGAGUGACCUACCUUUGACUCUGGGAUAAGCCUGGGAAACUGGGUCUAAUACCGGAUACGACCAAUCUCCGCAUGGGGUGUUGGUGGAAAGCGUUAUGGAGUGGUUUUAGAUGGGCUCACGGCCUAUCAGCUUGUUGGUGAGGUAAUGGCUUACCAAGGCGACGACGGGUAGCCGGCCUGAGAGGGUGACCGGCCACACUGGGACUGAGACACGGCCCAGACUCCUACGGGAGGCAGCAGUGGGGAAUAUUGCACAAUGGGCGCAAGCCUGAUGCAGCGACGCCGCGUGAGGGAUGACGGCCUUCGGGUUGUAAACCUCUGUUAGCAUCGAAGAAGCGAAAGGACGGUAGGUGCAGAGAA
Molecule: ribosomal RNA, 451 nt
Filed under: Rothia dentocariosa
Lineage: Bacteria; Bacillati; Actinomycetota; Actinomycetes; Micrococcales; Micrococcaceae
Description: bacterial SSU rRNA
Rfam family: Bacterial small subunit ribosomal RNA
Source: RNAcentral